This 329-nucleotide ribosomal RNA is filed under the name uncultured microorganism. RNAcentral describes it as "bacterial SSU rRNA". It matches the Rfam family "Bacterial small subunit ribosomal RNA", at positions 346 to 669 of the family's 1533-position model. The record is from RNAcentral.
GUGCAGCAGGCGCGAAUCUUCCACAAUGGGGAAACCCUGAUGGAGCGACGCCGCGUGCGGGAUGAAGGCCCUAUGGGUUGUAAACCGCUGUUCAGUGGAAAGAACAUCCUCCGGCUGAAUAGGUCGGAGGCCUGACGUUACCACUGCAGAAAGUCCCGGCAACUCCGUGCCAGCAGCCGCGGUAAUACGGGGGGACGAGCGUUGUCCGGAAUCAUUGGGCGUAAAGGCGCGUAGGCGGCGAGGAAAGUCGAAUGUGAAAUCUUGCGGCUCAACUGCAAAACUGCGUUCGAAACUUCCUCGCUUGAGUAUGAGAGAGGUGUGCGGAAUUU